GAAUGAAACACAAAAUUGAAAACAGAGAUGAAUAUAUAGCUACACUAAUGAAAUCAAAAUUAUUGAUUCAAAACUAAAACAUAAUAAAAAGGAAAUAAAAAAGUGAAGAAAUGUUACCUAGGCUCAAAACUCUAGCUCAUGUUCCAGCCACCACACAAUAGCCACUGCUGCCACUACUUUUAAUCUUUUAUGUCGAUCUCCACCACCAUCAGAACCAUAAAGACCCGCCCAUCAAAUCCCAGCCGUAAAUACAACCGAUUUGCUGCACGAAUCACCAAACACGACUACCAAACAACAGCGAAACCUCCACCAUUGUUCACUAUCUUCCAGCGCGAUUUACCAGCCACCACCAACAACACAUUACUCAUCAUUAGUUGUAUCUAUCUGGUUACCUCCCUCUUCCAGCCCCUUCCCCUUUCGCUGGAAUUGAAGC
This 433-nucleotide long non-coding RNA is filed under the name Citrus maxima (pomelo). RNAcentral's name for it is "long non-coding RNA (CMAX_LNC000594)". The record is from RNAcentral. Lineage: Eukaryota; Viridiplantae; Streptophyta; Magnoliopsida; Sapindales; Rutaceae.